Molecule: ribosomal RNA, 486 nt
Filed under: uncultured bacterium
Lineage: Bacteria
Description: bacterial SSU rRNA
Rfam family: Bacterial small subunit ribosomal RNA
Source: RNAcentral
CUACGUGCCAGCAGCCGCGGUAAUACGUAGGGUGCAAGCGUUAAUCGGAAUUACUGGGCGUAAAGAGUGCGCAGGCGGUUUUGCAAGACCGAUGUGAAAUCCCCGGGCUUAACCUGGGAACUGCAUUGGUGACUGCAAGGCUAGAGUGUGCCAGAGGGAGGUGGAAUUCCGCAUGUAGCAGUGAAAUGCGUAGAUAUGCGGAGGAACACCGAUGGCGAAGGCAGCCUCCUGGGAUAACACUGACGCUCAUGCACGAAAGCGUGGGGAGCAAACAGGAUUAGAUACCCUGGUAGUCCACGCCCUAAACGAUGUCUACUAGUUGUCGGGGAUUAAUUUCCUUGGUAACGCAGCUAACGCGUGAAGUAGACCGCCUGGGGAGUACGGUCGCAAGAUUAAAACUCAAAGGAAUUGACGGGGACCCGCACAAGCGGUGGAUGAUGUGGAUUAAUUCGACGCAACGCGAAGAACCUUACCAGGUCUUGACAU